RNAcentral lists this long non-coding RNA (1141 nucleotides) under Capsella grandiflora. RNAcentral describes it as "long non-coding RNA (CGRA_LNC001068)". The record is from RNAcentral. Lineage: Eukaryota; Viridiplantae; Streptophyta; Magnoliopsida; Brassicales; Brassicaceae.
UUAUCAAGUAUUUCCAGUUAUACACAACCAAAUCCAGAAAACUUAGUUCUACUUAGUUAUACUAGUAUUACCUAGUUAUACCAAUACUAAAAACCCAAAAAAUUCCCUUGUCCGCCGGAAUAUGCUCUUUCACUCGAACGUCCUCCUCCGCUGCAACUCUAGUAUCCGCCGGAACUUGCUCUUUCGCCGGACCUCCCUCUUUCACCGGAACUUCUUCGUCCUCCGGUACAACCUCUUUCUUUUUCUUUCUUCUUUUUUCUACUAUUUGUUGAUUAUUAUACCACACUCUCAACAUCGAUGAGAACAACGAAUACCCAAUUCAAAACUCUUGAGCAUUUUAAGAAUUUUUCUCUUCGAUUACUACCUCAGCGAACACUUAGAGAGAAAAGAAGAGAAGAAGAUGAUGAGCAAUUCAUCGUUUAGGUUAGAGUUUUUUUUUUUUUUUUUUUUUUUAAUGAGUUUGUGGGUAGGAUCCAUUUAGUGUUGGAUGGGUGGAUAAAAUCAAGGUUUGUAGUGUAAUAUAAGAAAUUUUGUUUGGACAUAGAAGUAAUUUAAGCAAUUUUUGAUUUUAAAAAAAACAAAAACAAAAUAAAGAAUAGAAGGGGAGAAUGGAGAUUCCUUCCUCCCAAAAAAGGAUACAGGAGACGAAAACUCUAUCCUUUCCCACGCCGCCGUUCAACUCUCUUCUCUACGCACAUACUCUUUAGUCUCUUCUCCACUAACGAUUGAAACCACUCGAUUUCUCAGAAACUCACCAAACGAUUUCGCCGCACAUUGCUUCACCGGCGUAGCUAUCCUUCUGUUCACCGGCGGAGCUAGCCUUCUGAAAAUCAAGAAAAAUAUGGAGGAUCCGACUUAUCAACACAUAGACCCUCGUUCCAAAUCCAGGUAAUAUAAUUUAAUUAGUUAUUACUUGUGUGGACUGAUGACACUACAAGAAAACACUCGUUUUGAGAGAGAAAAUUUCCUAGCUAGUCCCUCGCAAUACGCUUUUUGCUAGGAAAUUACGACAAACAGCGUUCUCUCGCAAUUGGCAAAUUCCUCGCAAACAUUGGGACGUUUCACACACCUCGCAAAUUUCGUAGCACUUUGCGAGGAUAUAGUUGGUAGCAAACACCUUGCAACUUCAAUUCUUUCAAAU